RNAcentral lists this non-coding RNA (21 nucleotides) under Arabidopsis thaliana (thale cress). Lineage: Eukaryota; Viridiplantae; Streptophyta; Magnoliopsida; Brassicales; Brassicaceae. The record is from RNAcentral.
UAGGGCUACUUUAUUUGUUUG